UCCUCCCUCCCUCCUUCU
RNAcentral lists this unclassified non-coding RNA (18 nucleotides) under synthetic construct. The record is from RNAcentral.